This is a long non-coding RNA of Mercenaria mercenaria, 1971 nucleotides long. RefSeq lists it as uncharacterized. The transcript has 3 exons. The record is from RefSeq and is a predicted model, not a curated record. NCBI's taxonomy places the organism in Eukaryota, Metazoa, Mollusca, Bivalvia, Venerida, Veneridae.
UAAUUCGAAGAAACUUCAGACAAGAUUACUACAACCACUACAUUCUGCGUGGCGAGAUGAAGAUUGUAUACAUUUUCGCUUUUCUGUGCAUCUGUGGACUUUUUAUUGGCUGUAUAGCGUAUGACUACUAUACUAUAGGUGACGUAUUCAAUGAGGUCAAAGACAACCAAGAUAUGAUCAAGGAAGUACUAGAUGGUCUUGAGGAAAUAAAGGCUUGUUGUUGUGAAUCCGAUGGAAGCGAUCGUAAAUAAAGACAAUGGCAGCUUCACGUUAGAAAAGGUCAUAUUCCAAAUUUCGGACUAACAAAACAGAACAGAACAGAUAUUAUAUUUAGCCUUAUGCAUAUAUAGCACAUUGAAAUAAAUCAUUAUAUAUAUAUACUGCAUAUGAAUUAUAGGAAUACAAUCCAUUUAGCUAUAUAAGCCGCGCCACGAGAAAACCAGCAUAGUGCGUUUGCGACCAGUCUGGUCUGGAUCCAUGCUGUUCGCUUUCAAAGCCUGUUGCAAUUAGAGAAUGUGUUAGCGAACAGCAUGGAUCCUGACCAGACUGCGCGGGUGGUCUGGAUCCAUGCUGGUCGCAAACGCACUAUGUUGGUUUUCUCAUGGUACGGCUCAUAUAUAUUAUUGUUAAUUUUCUGUGCAUUUAAAGUCUUAAUCGUGGUAUACUAACCGAUAAGUGUAAAAACAUACAAAGAAUUAAUUUGCACAAAUUAGGAUAUAAAACUAAUCUAAAAGAGCUAUGAGAGGGAAUAACUAUACACAUUUUAAUUUACAAUACUUAAAGUCUCAUACAAGACACGCGCUUUAAUCAAAUAUAUAUGCUGUGCUUUUUUUAUCGUAUUAAUUGUAAAUUUUAGGGGGAAGUAACGAUUAAAGUAUAAACAAGGCGUGCGUAACAUUUCUUCUUACGCAGCACUUGAUAUUUUGCCGGCACCUUUUAUAUUAUAGACAGCGCAUUCCUGAGUAUCCAAAUUUUUAAUAAAGUCGUUAUUCAUUUUACAACCUCAUCCCGUUUUUUUAGAGGGUCACAAAAACUGAUAUGAAAUCUGGUUUUAUUAAAGAUGCAAGUAUCCUAAGGGAAGGGACGUGCAUAUAUCUAUUAAAAUGGUGCGUUCUGUAGUUGUACAUGGCUAGCUGAAACAUGUAUCUUUCACGCAGAUUCUACAUAUCUGAAAUGAGAAUUCCUCUGCUAUUAGGGUAGUCCGUCUCAGAGUACCUGUAUUAUUACUACCCCUUGAAAACGCACACGAGUUUAUACCCUUAUCACUCCCUAUAGAUAAGCAAUUAAAAAUGAAAUUACAAAAAAGAAAAAAGAAUUUCAGAGACUGUAAGUCCUAUAUAAUUUAGAAAAUACGUUUACUACAUUUGGUUCAUUCACUGCAACGCAAGUUACCUUGCUGGGUCAGGAAUUGAAGACAAUAUACAGUUAGUAAUAUUAAGAUAUUAUUUGACAGCUGACAUGUCCUUUGUAACCUACUUCAAUUACUCCGAUUAAUUCGCUAAUGGAUAUGAAUAUACCUAAUGUAUAAAACAUGUGAACAAUAUAAUGUUACAAGAUUGUAUACUAACAAGAAAUCGAAGUCAAAGCAAACACCCAUUACACUUUUUUAAGUUUUAACCAUGUAUGUUGUUGUUGUUGUAUUCAAUGUGUUGUCGGUAAAAUUAUGUUUAGAUAAAUACGUUAACAAAGUCUGUACAAUAACAGGUUGCAACAAUUGAAUGCCGAAAUAGAAUAUUCGACGAGGGCAAACAUACAGAUUAUUUUCAUGUUUUUAUGUACCAAGAAUACUUAAAUACUUUUAAUAUUAAAAAGUUUAGAGUAAAAGUUUAGUGAUUUAUACAGCAAAAUGUUUUGAAAAAAGAGAUGCUAUUUUAAUGAUUUCAAUCAUCUCCCAUUACUUGUAUAUGAUAUAUUGUUGUUCUGCAUAUAAAUACUAAUAUAGCCCUUCUACGAAUAAAUUCUCUCUCUCUA